GAAUCCCGUCUUUGACACGGACUGCCAGGGCUUUGUGAUGUGCUCUCGAAGAGUCGAGUUGUUUGGGAAUGCAGCUCAAAAUGGGUGGUAAAUUCCAUCUAAAGCUAAAUAUUGGCGAGAGACCGAUAGCGAACAAGUACCGUGAGGGAAAGAUGAAAAGAACUUUGGAAAGAGAGUUAAACAGUACGUGAAAUUGCUGAAAGGGAAACGCUUGAAGUCAGUCGCGUUGGCCAGGGAUCAACCUUGCUUUUUUGCUUGGCUUACUUUCUGGUUGAUGGGUCAGCAUCAAUUUUGACUGGUGGAAAAAGUUCAAGGGAAUGUGGCAGCUUCGGCUGUGUUAUAGCCCCUGGUCGCAUACAGUGGUUGGGAUUGAGGAACUCAGCACGCCGCAAGGCCGGGUUUCGACCACGUUCGUGCUUAGGAUGCUGGCAUAAUGGCUUUAAGCGACCCGUCUUGAAACACGGACCAAGGAGUCUAACAUGCCUGCGAGUAUUUGGGUGGAAAACCCAAGUGCGUAAUGAAAGUGAAAGUUGAGAUCCCUGUCGUGGGGAGCAUCGACGCCCGGACCAGAACUUUUGGGACGGAUCCGCGGUGGAGCAUGUAUGUUGGGACCCGAAAGAUGGUGAACUAUGCCUGAAUAGGGUGAAGCCAGAGGAAACUCUGGUGGAGGCUCGUAGCGAUUCUGACGUGCAAAUCGAUCGUCAAAUUUGGGUAUAGGGGCGAAAGACUAAUCGAACCAUCUAGUAGCUGGUUCCUGCC
This 759-nucleotide ribosomal RNA is filed under the name uncultured Agaricus. RNAcentral's name for it is "partial 28S ribosomal RNA". It matches the Rfam family "Eukaryotic large subunit ribosomal RNA", at positions 216 to 962 of the family's 3401-position model. The record is from RNAcentral. Lineage: Eukaryota; Fungi; Basidiomycota; Agaricomycetes; Agaricales; Agaricaceae.